AGCACGCAAGGGAGCGAGCAUUGUCACUGUGGGGUAAAUGGAGAGGGGAAUGAGGAGUCCUUUAUUCUUUGGUGAGAGAACCUUCAGGGUGAAGGAAGGAAUAAGAUGCCUUGAGAGGCCCCACUGUAUUAGAGAGGACCUAGAAACUAGGGUGCUAACUCUGGUGAGAGGGAUUCCCCAGGGCUACUCUGGGAGUAGAGAGCUACAGGAUGGGGAUUUUUGAGGAAAGUCUGUUUCCUUGGGUGCAGGUUGGUGUGAGCCAGACCCUUGGCAUUGAGAUAAUGCACGUUUGAACUUGCCAGGUGGAGGUCACACCAAACUGAGUGGCUCUGGCAAUGAACAACAGAUUGGUUCUAGCAAGUUUCUACUUUUGCAGCAGCUGGGCUGUCCCCGAUGCAGACAGUGAAGGUUUCUGUGUCUGCAGUGACUCUGGGCCUGGGCUUCAUCAUUUUCUCUCUUGGUUUGCUCAGCUGGAGGAGAGCUGGCCCCUCUGGCUACAUUUUGCUCCCUGGGGACAGUUAUCCUGAAGGUCAACACGUCAAUUAGAGGCAGAGUCCUACACCUUCUGCCCCAAGUGAGGAGAUUCAAACUCUUAGUGAUGCUGUUGUGUCCCUCCAACAUUCUCAGACCCUACAGAUUUUCUUGGAUCCUGUGGUUUCUCCAUCCAGAUCUUUGAACUUCCCAGCCCACCCCAUGUACACCUUAGCAAGCUGGGGGAACUCAUUCCUGGGAAUAUUCUGUAAUCAAGAUGUUGUCCAAGGCUAUAUUUCUGGGUCGAAUAUCAUCUGGGGAGGGAGGUUAGAGGCCUUUCUGGAGGCCGCGCAGUGCCACAGGGGUCAGUGAGUCACUGGAGAUCAUCUCUGAGGAAUAAACUCUGGUNGAAAUAUCAUUUUUCUAU
Long non-coding RNA from Ailuropoda melanoleuca (giant panda), 898 nucleotides. RefSeq lists it as uncharacterized. The transcript is spliced from 3 exons. Lineage: Eukaryota; Metazoa; Chordata; Mammalia; Carnivora; Ursidae. The record is from RefSeq and is a predicted model, not a curated record.